UGUUAAUAUAAAAUAUUACCGCAGACAAGGGGCAUCUUUAUAAGUCCCCUCGAGGUAUAAAAAUAUAAAGCUUUUUUAUAUUUGUCUGCGGUUAAGCGCAGAUUUUUUUAUGCCCUUAA
Molecule: non-coding RNA, 119 nt
Organism: Parcubacteria group bacterium CG1_02_39_15
Lineage: Bacteria
Source: Rfam